This 264-nucleotide signal recognition particle RNA is filed under the name Armatimonadetes bacterium CG07_land_8_20_14_0_80_40_9. RNAcentral describes it as "signal recognition particle sRNA large type". It matches the Rfam family "Bacterial large signal recognition particle RNA". Rfam says of the family: The signal recognition particle (SRP) is a universally conserved ribonucleoprotein involved in the co-translational targeting of proteins to membranes. Archaeal SRP consists of a 7S RNA and homologues of the eukaryotic SRP19 and SRP54 proteins. The record is from RNAcentral. Lineage: Bacteria; Bacillati; Armatimonadota.
UCGUGCUAGACGGGGAGCUAGCGGUGCCCUGUACCUGCAAUCCGCUAUAGCAGGGUUGAAUCCCUACCUGCGGUCCUAUCUUUUUAGGUUCAGGCUCAGAUAAGUGGUGUUGAGAGUCGGGUCCUGCGUCGGGAAGGUUUAUAAACCCCGACAGGUCCGGAAGGAAGCAUCGGUAAGUAAAUUCUUCCUCGGUCGUAGUCAACCUGAGAGGAGCUAACUGUUUGAGUCUUCCUGGGAAAGAUAAGAUCAAAGGUAGGUGCACGA